Molecule: ribosomal RNA, 492 nt
Filed under: uncultured bacterium
Lineage: Bacteria
Description: partial 16S ribosomal RNA
Rfam family: Bacterial small subunit ribosomal RNA
Source: RNAcentral
AGUGAACGCUGGCGGUAGGCCUAACACAUGCAAGUCGAACGGCAGCACAGUAAGAGCUUGCUCUUACGGGUGGCGAGUGGCGGACGGGUGAGGAAUACAUCGGAAUCUACUUUUUCGUGGGGGAUAACGUAGGGAAACUUACGCUAAUACCGCAUACGACCUACGGGUGAAAGCAGGGGAUCUUCGGACCUUGCGCGAUUGAAUGAGCCGAUGUCGGAUUAGCUAGUUGGCGGGGUAAAGGCCCACCAGGGCGACGAUCCGUAGCUGGUCUGAGAGGAUUAUCAGCCACACUGGAACUGAGACACGGUCCAGACUCCUACGGGAGGCAGCAGUGGGGAAUAUUGGACAAUGGGCGCAAGCCUGAUCCAGCCAUACCGCGUGGGUGAAGAAGGCCUUCGGGUUGUAAAGCCCUUUUGUUGGGAAAGAAAAGCAGCAGGUUAAUACCCCGCUGUUCUGACGGUACCCAAAGAAUAAGCACCGGCUAACUUCGUG